CUGUCACACUGUUCUGUCUCUCAGCUGUUGACCUGGAUCAACUUAUACCUGGGACAUCAGCAGGGGGCGGGGUCAGGACCAUGAUGACCACCAGGGUCUGACCAAUCAGCUGGCAGCAGGAGGGGUUUACAACUUCACGCCCUCCUCAUCACCGCACCGACUCCAUCCAGAAAUAUUCAAACGCAGAUUAUUGAUUUGACUCAAACAUGCAGCAGUUCACAUCACUGCAGCUGGAGGGCGCUGCAGAGCUCAGAACUCUCCCACCAGCCCGCUGCAGCUCCGACACCAGCGGGUUGCUGUGCCCUGAGCCUCGUCUCGCAGGCUGUGAACGAACUACCCAUCCACCUCCAGCCUGUCAGAGAGGACAGAUGAGGAGGAGCUGGACUCUGUGGCUGCUGCAAGUGUUUGAGACAAAUAUUCAAAGCCUCUGCUCAAAGGAUUAUCACGAUCACUCCAAAAAUGAUUGACAGGUCUUUUAAUACAAGACUCCGACACCUACAUGCAUGUUGGUAAUGUUUUCAGAUGCUAUUAGAGGUCUGUCUGUGUGAGUGUAAUGUUUCUCAACAAGAGUUAAACAAACUUAAAUAAAACUAAUAAUAUUUCA
This is a long non-coding RNA of Epinephelus fuscoguttatus (brown-marbled grouper), 604 nucleotides long. RefSeq lists it as uncharacterized. Lineage: Eukaryota; Metazoa; Chordata; Actinopteri; Perciformes; Serranidae. The record is from RefSeq and is a predicted model, not a curated record. The transcript is spliced from 2 exons.